This 441-nucleotide ribosomal RNA is filed under the name uncultured Alphaproteobacteria bacterium. RNAcentral describes it as "bacterial SSU rRNA". It matches the Rfam family "Bacterial small subunit ribosomal RNA", at positions 338 to 796 of the family's 1533-position model. The record is from RNAcentral. Lineage: Bacteria; Pseudomonadati; Pseudomonadota; Alphaproteobacteria.
CCUACGGGGUGCAGCAGUAGGGAAUCUUGCGCAAUGGACGAAAGCCUGACGCAGCCAUGCCGCGUGAAUGAUGAAGGUCUUAGGAUUGUAAAAUUCUUUCACCGGGGACGAUAAUGACGGUACCCGGAGAAGAAGCUCCGGCUGACUUCGUGCCAGCAGCCGCGGUAAUACGAAGGGGGCUAACGUUGCUCGGAAUUACUGGGCGUAAAGGGCGCGUAGGCGGACAGUUUAGUCAGAGGUGAAAGCCCAGGGCUCAACCUUGGAAUAGCCUUUGAUACUGACUGUCUUGAGUACGGGAGAGGUGUGUGGAACUCCGAGUGUAGAGGUGAAAUUCGUAGAUAUUCGGAAGAACACCAGUGGCGAAGGCGACACACUGGCCCGUUACUGACGCUGAGGCGCGAAAGCGUGGGGAGCAAACAGGAUUAGAUACCCCAGUAGUCC